UCUUAAUGGUGCAAAACAAUGUCGUUCUUUCCUAUGAUGCAGGCAUGGUGCAGGGUCCUGGUGGAUGAUUUAUAAUUAUUCAUGGACCGAAAAUAGUGUUAAGGGAAGAGAUUUGCAUGCUCCAGAUGACACAGAGUCACAGCUGAAUACUAUAACCCCAGAAAAAGUAACUCCUGAAAUGGCAGAAAUCUGUAUGAAAUGUGCAAAGAAAGUGUUUUAAGAGCAGGUCACCUUUAAAUUGCCUUUAAAAAGCCGACUGCUUUUAUGCUGUCUGUAGGGAGCCUCUGAUUUUAAUGUUUCAAUGAAAGGCUAUUCUUUUUUCCACUUUUUUUUCCUUUCCUUUCUCUCUCUCUCUCUCUCUCUCUCUCUUUUUUUUUUUUUUUUUGCCAGGCCAUACGGAGUGACACAAACAUUUUCAAUGGAGUGACAUAAAUAAUUUCAUGGACAAGUUAUUAUCGUCUCUGGAUAAACCAAUGAGGCACUCUGAAAUGAGAAGUUUUAGCAGUCUACCUUUCAGUUUGCUGCAAUUCAUUGAAGAGCCCAAGGCUAGAUUUACAUCUUUCUGGAUAAAUUCAGAGGCAUCUAGAGCUAUAGGACAGACAGGUCCAGUGGAAGAUGAAUGCAGAGGCUACGAGCAAGAGCAAGAAGGGAGACUAUUUUCAAAUGUGGUCAAACAAAUUCCCUGAGUGGAAUUCAGGUAGCUUCCUUAGUAGAAGAUGAUUUCCUGAUCUUCAUUCAGAGAAGCCUUAUUUCUAGCAGGAGUCUCAGAUCUAUCAUAGAAUUGACCUGUGGAUGCAAAAAUGAUGAUAAACACCAUUUCCCAGCCUGUUAUCUAGUAGUAAGCUUUCAACUAAUGGACACUGGAUAUUACACAACAAUUUUUCCCCCCAAAUCCUCUAUUUGGGAGCGUAUUUUUCAGCCAGGAGUGAGGUACUGCAGGAUCUACCAAUCUUCCUUCAAUAACAAAUACCUAUUGACUCAGUGCCUACUUUGUGACAACUAG
This 1003-nucleotide long non-coding RNA is filed under the name Vulpes vulpes (red fox). Its description in RNAcentral is "lncRNA (ENSVVUG00000009223.1)". Lineage: Eukaryota; Metazoa; Chordata; Mammalia; Carnivora; Canidae. The record is from RNAcentral.